CUCUUGCUGGCAAAAGUUGUCAUAGAUGCAGCCAAAAAACAAGGCACAAAAGUGGUGGAAGCCGAGGAAAAAAUUAAAACCUGGCUGAAGUACAGUGGAGACCGAAAUGGAGGAAGAAAAAAAAGAGCAACAGAAAAAGAAAAGCAGAUGCCUCCCCCCUCAUGCAGAUUCCAGCAGCUGCGAAAGUGAAUGAAAAGAUGCUGCUACUUCUCCUCCUCUGCUCCGUCUUCAUCAUAAGAGCCACACACAAUCUAAUUUGCUUCAAAUCUGCAAAAAACUGCAGAAUACAGAAGAGAAUCUGCACAUUUUCUUAGUUUUCAGCUGGGAUUUUUUGGCCUUCUUCCGCAUUUUCUUUGCCGCCUUUUUGGUUUCCUUGUUGUUGAUUUCUUUGACUUUAUUUUUUACUUAUCUUAGCAUUUUUCCACUGACUGCCUUUGUGUUGUUGUUUUUUUCAACUAUUUUGUCAAUCGGCUCACAUCCUGUGUUAUUUAUUUAUUAUGUGCUCAAGUUUUUCCAACAACAGCACCACAAGACGUGAACUGCAUUAAAUUGUAAUGUUAAUUUUGUUACCAAUAAAUAGGUUUAUUUUUAUAACCAA
Perca fluviatilis (European perch) is the source of this 598-nucleotide long non-coding RNA. RefSeq lists it as uncharacterized. The record is from RefSeq and is a predicted model, not a curated record. NCBI's taxonomy places the organism in Eukaryota, Metazoa, Chordata, Actinopteri, Perciformes, Percidae. The transcript is spliced from 4 exons.